This 252-nucleotide ribosomal RNA is filed under the name uncultured bacterium. RNAcentral's name for it is "partial 16S ribosomal RNA". It matches the Rfam family "Bacterial small subunit ribosomal RNA", at positions 1243 to 1500 of the family's 1533-position model. The record is from RNAcentral.
CGGGAAGGCCAUGCGGCGACGCAGAGCGGAACCCGAAAAACCCUGUCUCAGUUCGGAUUGGAGUCUGCAACCCGACUCCAUGAAGCUGGAUUCGCUAGUAAUCGCGCAUCAGCCACGGCGCGGUGAAUACGUUCCCGGGCCUUGUACACACCGCCCGUCAAGCCAUGGAAGCCGGGAGUGCCUGGAGUGCGUGAGCGCAAGCAGCGCCCUAAGGUAAAACCGGUGACUGGGGCUAAGUCGUAACAAGGUAUC